This 357-nucleotide ribosomal RNA is filed under the name Triticum aestivum (bread wheat). RNAcentral describes it as "partial small subunit ribosomal RNA". The record is from RNAcentral. Lineage: Eukaryota; Viridiplantae; Streptophyta; Magnoliopsida; Poales; Poaceae.
AUGGCGGAGGAGGGGAAGGUGAUCGCGAUCCACAGCCAGGAGCAGUGGAGCACCAAGAUCGAGGAGGCUGGCAGCAGCACGAAUCUGGUGGUGAUCGACUUCACUGCAACAUGGUGCGGACCAUGCCGCUUCAUUUCUCCAAUCUUAGAUGAGAUUGCCAAGAAGCUUCCAAAUGUUAUGUUCCUGAAGGUGGAUGUUGAUGAAAUGAAGUCAAUUGCCGAGGAGUUCAGUGUUGAGGCUAUGCCGACGUUUGUGCUCAUGAAGGAAGGAAAGGUGGUGGACAAGGUUGUGGGAGCUGCCAAGGAGGAGCUGAGCGGGAAGAUUGCCAAGCACAGUGCAACUGCAUGCGCUAAAUAA